Clupea harengus (Atlantic herring) is the source of this 782-nucleotide long non-coding RNA. NCBI's taxonomy places the organism in Eukaryota, Metazoa, Chordata, Actinopteri, Clupeiformes, Clupeidae. The record is from Ensembl.
CACUUUGCCCAGGUCUGGUCUAGAGUGUGGGGUUGAGCUUGGAAGAGUGUGUCUGAAGUGUGUCUAGAGUGUGGGGGUGAACUUGGAGGAGUGUGUCUGGAGUGUGGAGGUGAACUUGGAGGAGUGUGUCUGGAGUGUGUCUAGAGUGUGUCUGGAGUGUGUCUAGAGUGUGGGGGUGAACUUGGAGGAGUGUGUUUGGAGUGUGUCUAGAGUGUGGGGAUGAACUUGGACGAGUGUGUCUGAAGUGUGGGGGUGAACUUGGAGGAGUGUGUCUGGAGUGUGUCUGGAGUGUGUCUAGAGUGUGGGGGUCAACUUGGAGGAGUGUGUCUGAAGUGUGUCUAAGAACGUGGGGGUGAACUUGGACGAGUGUGUCUGAAGUGUGGGGGUGAACUUGGACGAGUGUGUCUGGAGUGUGUCUAGAGUGUGGAGGUGAACUUGGAGGAGUGUGUCUAGAGUGUGUCUAGAGUGUGAGGGUGAACUUGGACGAGCGUGUCUGGAGUGUGGGGGUGAACUUGGAGGAGUGUGUCUGGAGUGUGUCUAGAGUGUGGGGGUGAACUUGGAGGAGUGUGUCUGAAGUGUGUCUAAGAACGUGGGGGUGAACUUGGACAAGUGUGUCUGAAGUGUGGGGGUGAACUUGGACGAGUGUGUCUGGAGUGUGGAGGUGAACUUGGAGGAGUGUGUCUGGAGUGUGGAGGUGAACUUGGGGGAGUGUGCUGCUCGAGAUAAGAGAGAUAGGUGGAACCCUCCAGAGAGUCCCCCCGGGGGGAGUGUGUAUGUUCAUG